AGAUGUGAAGAGAAAUAGAUCUGUUAACCUUGCAGACCGCCAAGGUGGUUUCAGUUGAUAUGGUUACUUAGGUGGUAUCCCCUUCCUCCAUCACUUCUGGAAGUUUCACCCUUAGCAGAUGAGACAUUUUCUCUAUAGAAAAGGUCUAACCCCUGCUCAAGGACAUAUGAGUAGCUGUGCUUCCUGGCUGGAAGUUCCAAAGAGGCUGUCAAGAUGGGCACAUGUCGCCGGGCGGUGGUGGCGCACGCCUUUAAUCCCAGCACUUGGGAGUCAGAGGCAGGCGGAUCUCUGUGAGUUCAAG
Molecule: small nuclear RNA, 301 nt
Filed under: Microtus ochrogaster (prairie vole)
Lineage: Eukaryota; Metazoa; Chordata; Mammalia; Rodentia; Cricetidae
Description: 7SK RNA (ENSMOCG00000005289.1)
Rfam family: 7SK RNA
About the family: 7SK was discovered as an abundant small nuclear RNA in the mid-70s but a possible function has only recently been suggested. Two independent studies have found that 7SK RNA binds the CDK9/cyclin T complex (known as elongation factor P-TEFb). P-TEFb activates transcription by phosphorylating the C-terminal domain of RNA polymerase II.
Source: RNAcentral